AGUUGAAUUGAAGUGAACUUGGGUUGAUGUGAUCUUCGGAUGACAUGAAUCAAAGUUGACUCUUUCCAAAGUCAAUACAUUGGUAUUCAUUUAUCUUUGUAUUGUGUUUGGUCAUUUACUGUGAGAAAAUUAGAGUGUUCAAAGCAGACGUUUGUUUGAAUACAUUAGCAUGGAAUAAUCAUAUAUGGCUUUCAUGUUGAUUUGAUUGGUUUGAAUAUGGAAGCAAGAUUAAAAGGGACAGUUGGGGGUAUUCAUAUUCAAUAGUCAGAGGUGAAAUUCUGGGAUUUAUGGAAGAUGAACAAGUGCGAAA
This 310-nucleotide ribosomal RNA is filed under the name Blastocystis sp. NV-2012. Its description in RNAcentral is "SSU rRNA". The stretch from base 113 to 310 matches the Rfam family "Eukaryotic small subunit ribosomal RNA", at positions 749 to 950 of the family's 1831-position model. The record is from RNAcentral. Lineage: Eukaryota; Bigyra; Opalinata; Blastocystidae.